AGAAAUGGGAUUGUCUAAGCCAUGCGAGUCAUUGUAGUAAUACAAGGCAGACGGCUCAGUAACGCGUAGUCAACCUACCCUAUGGACGGGGAUAACCUCGGGAAACUGAGAAUAAUACCCGAUAGAACAUUAUGCCUGGAAUGGUUUAUGUUUCAAAUAAUUUAUUGCCGUAGGAUGGGACUGCGGCCUAUCAGUUUGUUGGUGAGGUAAUGGCCCACCAAGACUAUUACAGGUACGGGCUCUGAGAGGAGUAGCCCGGAGAUGGGUACUGAGACACGGACCCAGGCCCUAUGGGGCGCAGCAGGCGAGAAAACUUUGCAAUGUGCGAAAGCACGACAAGGUUAAUCCGAGUGGUUUCUGCUAAAGGAACCUUUUGUCAGUCCUAGAGACACUGAUGAAUAAGGGGUGGGCAAGUUCUGGUGUCAGCCGCCGCGGUAAAACCAGCACCUCAAGUGGUCAGGAUGAUUAUUGGGCCUAAAGCAUCCGUAGCCUGCUUUGUAAGUUUUCGGUUAAAUCCAUAUGCUCAACAUAUGGGCUGCCGGGAAUACUGCAAAGCUAGGGAGUGGGAGAGGUAGACGGUACUCGGUAGGAAGGGGUAAAAUCCUUUGAUCUAUUGAUGACCACCUGUGGCGAAGGCGGUCUACCAGAACACGUCCGACGGUGAGGGAUGAAAGCUGGGGGAGCAAACCGGAUUAGAUACCCGGGUAGUCCCAGCUGUAAACUAUGCAAACUCAGUGAUGCAUUGGCUUGUGGCCAAUGCAGUGCUGCAGGGAAGCCGUUAAGUUUGCCGCCUGGGAAGUACGUACGCAAGUAUGAAACUUAAAGGAAUUGGCGGGGGAGCACCACAAGGGGUGAAGCCUGCGGUUCAAUUGGAGUCAACGCCGGAAAUC
Molecule: ribosomal RNA, 890 nt
Filed under: uncultured archaeon
Lineage: Archaea
Description: bacterial SSU rRNA
Rfam family: Archaeal small subunit ribosomal RNA
Source: RNAcentral